RNAcentral lists this ribosomal RNA (45 nucleotides) under Lactifluus volemus. RNAcentral describes it as "Lactarius volemus partial 28S ribosomal RNA". RNAcentral also lists the same sequence under 26 other names. The record is from RNAcentral. Lineage: Eukaryota; Fungi; Basidiomycota; Agaricomycetes; Russulales; Russulaceae.
UUGACCUCAAAUCGGGUGAGACUACCCGCUGAACUUAAGCAUAUC